RNA transcript from Cercocebus atys (sooty mangabey), 629 nucleotides. It is a transcript of the gene named mitochondrial import inner membrane translocase subunit TIM14 pseudogene, with no coding region annotated. The transcript has a single exon. NCBI's taxonomy places the organism in Eukaryota, Metazoa, Chordata, Mammalia, Primates, Cercopithecidae. The record is from RefSeq and is a predicted model, not a curated record.
AAAAAAGAAAAAGAAAGAAGGGAGGGAGGGAAGAAAGAAGGAAGGAAGGAAGGAAAGAGAGAGAGAAAGAGGAGCUGGGAUGAGCUGUGCUCCUGGAGGAAGCAAGGGAGCCCAGCUGGAGCCAUAGCCAGUACAGUGGUAGCAGUUGGACUGACCAUUGCUGCUGCAGGAUUUGCAGACUGUUAUGUUUUGCAAGCCAUGAAGCAUAUGGAGCCUCAAGUAAAACAAGUUUUUCAAAGCCUACCAAAAUCUGCCUUCAGUGGUGGCUAUUAUAGAGGUGGGUUUGAACCCAAAAUGACAAAAUGGGAAGUAGCAUUAAUACUAGGUGUAAGCCCUACUGCCAAUAAAGGGAAAAUAAGAGAUGCUUAUCAACGAAUUAUACUUUUAAAUAAUCCUGACAAAGGAGGAUCUCCUUACAUAGCAGCCAAAAUCAGUGAAGCUAAAGAUUUACUAGAAGAUCAAGCUAAAAAAUGAAGUAAAUGUAUGAUGAAUUUUAAGUUCAUAUUAGUUUAUGUAUAUGAGUACUAAGUUUUUGUAAUAAAAUGCCUCAGAGCUACAAUAGAAAGAUGAAAGAAAGAAAGAAAGAGAAAGAAAAAGAAAAAGAGAAAGAAAGGAGGGAGGGAGGGAGG